This 533-nucleotide small RNA is filed under the name Vigna angularis var. angularis. RNAcentral's name for it is "Non-protein coding transcript". The record is from RNAcentral. Lineage: Eukaryota; Viridiplantae; Streptophyta; Magnoliopsida; Fabales; Fabaceae.
ACUAGACAGACAAACUCAGCAAUUGAGUUCAAUUAUUCACUGUCGUCUUAAUUAGAAAAUCUUAGUAUUGAGACCUGGUGUUAAUGAAGGAGAAGCAAACAUUGAACUUGUUGGCCUAAGAGAACAACAGCAGUAGCAAGAGGAAAGCUUGGAAGUGCAGAGGUACAGCUGAGUUGUUUGAAGACGAUGUAUUUGUAAUCCCAGAGGCUUAUCCAGUUGCCAUCAACGCAACCUCCAAUCUAAGUUUCUUUGCUUUCGGUAUCAAUGCUGAGAACAACCAGAUGAACUUCCUUCAGUUGAAGGUGAGAAAGACAAUGUGAUGAGCGAGAUACCUACAGAGGUGUUGGAGGUUUCCUUCCCUGCGUGUGGUGAGAAGGUUGAGAAGUUGAUAAAGAAGCAGCAGCAAAGGGAGAGAAGAAAGGGUUCAUUUGCGUACUGAAUUAUGAACUAAAUGUAUGUAUGGUGUAAGAGCUCACAGAGCGUUGAAAUAUGUACAGGAUAUAAGCUCCACCUCACUUCUUCUAUGAAUAAAC